RNAcentral lists this ribosomal RNA (253 nucleotides) under uncultured bacterium. Its description in RNAcentral is "partial 16S ribosomal RNA". It matches the Rfam family "Bacterial small subunit ribosomal RNA", at positions 524 to 776 of the family's 1533-position model. The record is from RNAcentral.
UACGGGGGGGGCAAGCGUUGUUCGGAAUUACUGGGCGUAAAGGGCUCGUAGGUGGCCAACUAAGUCAGACGUGAAAUCCCUCGGCUUAACCGGGGAACUGCGUCUGAUACUGGAUGGCUUGAGUUCGGGAGAGGGAUGCGGAAUUCCGGGUGUAGCGGUGGAAUGCGUAGAGAUCCGGAAGAACACCGGAGGCGAAGGCGGCUUGCUGGGCGUAGUCUGACGCUGAGGCGCGAAAGCGUGGGGAGCGAACAGG